AUGUCAGCAUGCUGCUCCAGAUGCCAUUUCAUACUAUUUCUAAAGUGUGUUGUCCAUUCACUUGAGGCUAAAAUCUUACUUGAUUGUUGGCCAUAUUGCAUUUUUGUUUUUUCCUCAGGACAUGUAUCCAUUUUGGACUCAAUUAGCUUUGCUCGGAUUCUGAAUGUAUUAGUGAGAGAUCAUUGUAGUUCUGGUGGCAAUGCCAUCACUGCUGAAUAUGUAAAACAGGAGACGAUAAAUGCUCUAUAUUUGAGAGUCAUUCUCAUCCCUAAACUAUAUAUAUUUAUUAUAAUGGCUCGACUGCAAGACCAUACAAACAAAACAAUCAACAAAAUAAUGCCACCCAGCCACACGCAAUUUAACCAAACAGCGCAGCAAAGCGUGCGUACGCUUCUAGUAUCACCUAUUCCUGGAUGA
RNAcentral lists this ribosomal RNA (417 nucleotides) under Triticum aestivum (bread wheat). RNAcentral describes it as "partial small subunit ribosomal RNA". Lineage: Eukaryota; Viridiplantae; Streptophyta; Magnoliopsida; Poales; Poaceae. The record is from RNAcentral.